CUGAGUUCUACAAAACUCCCAACCCUUUGUGAAUUCUAUAUUUUGUUGCCUCGGCGCGAGCAGCAGCUACCCGGGAGCUACCUGGGAGUCAGCUACCCUGUAGUUGGCUACCCUGUAGCUACCCUGUAGUUGCGACUUGGCUCCGCCGGUGGACCAUCAAACUCUUGUUUUUACAGUGUAUCUCUGAACUAUAUAACAAAAUAAGUUA
RNAcentral lists this unclassified non-coding RNA (208 nucleotides) under uncultured Hypoxylon. RNAcentral describes it as "sequence contains ITS1". Lineage: Eukaryota; Fungi; Ascomycota; Sordariomycetes; Xylariales; Xylariaceae. The record is from RNAcentral.